This 253-nucleotide ribosomal RNA is filed under the name uncultured bacterium. RNAcentral's name for it is "partial 16S ribosomal RNA". It matches the Rfam family "Bacterial small subunit ribosomal RNA", at positions 524 to 776 of the family's 1533-position model. The record is from RNAcentral.
GACGGAGGAUGCAAGCGUUAUCCGGAAUUAUUGGGCGUAAAGCGUCCGCAGGUGGCCUAUCAAGUCUGCUGUCAAAGACCGGGGCUUAACCCCAGAAAGGCAGUGGAAACUGAAAGGCUAGAUGAUGGUAGGGGCAGAGGGAAUUCCCAGUGUAGCGGUGAAAUGCGUAGAGAUUGGGAAGAACACCGGUGGCGAAAGCGCUCUGCUGGGCCAUAACUGACACUCAGGGACGAAAGCUAGGGGAGCGAAUGGG